UGAUACUUCAAAGUAAAUAUCUCGGAGACGUAUUUCUUCGUUAUUUUAUUAAUUAUUGAGUAUCCCAUGUCGUUUAUUCAUUUAAAACUUUUUUUUUUUUUUAAGUUAGCUUCAUUUAUUUCCAUUCGUUAUCUAGGUUAGCAAAUCUCUCUAAACGUUAAAGUCAGCGAGAUCGCAUGCGAAUUAAGCGAUGCGAGACACAAGUCGCAGCAGAGAGAGAGAUUAAAUAAUAGCGAUGAUGAUACAAAAUUACGAAUAAUAAAACGAAUUUCUUGGAAGCGACAGAUAUAAUUAUGAUAAUUUUAUGAAUUUAGUCAUUAUAUUUUUAAGUAUUUUUUUUUAUCGAAUAUUUAUCAAAACUCGUAAAAUGCAGUUUUUUUACUACACUAUUGAAUUGUUUAGCCAUCGGGCGAAACUUCGAUCAAUCAUUUUUGAAGACAUUCUUGAUUUCGAAUACUGUAAUUGUUUUGCCCCAGAACGGGGAAAAAAGAAGAAGAAAAAAAAACCUGGAAAAUAAUUUCGGAUCGUUGGAAGCAUGAAAUAUUUUGUUAAAAUAAUAAUAAUUACUCAGACACUAACUAAAUUAACGUUAAUUUAUUAUUCUUGUUUUGAUGUUGGUUCUAUCAUUAUUUAUGAGAUUUAUAUUUAUAAUAAUGUUUAUAAAUAUUGCAUGCUGUGUGUGUGUGUGUGUGUGUGUGUGUGUGUGUGUGUGUGUUCUAAAUAUAUCAUGCAUUCAAACAUAUUCGAUAAGCAAUAUAUAUAUGUAUAUUUAAAGCUAUAAUUACUGUAAGUAGAUAUAAUGUCCUAUUUUUAAUGCAAAAUCGAUAGAAUUUUCUAUUAACGUAUGCGAUUUAUUAUAAAUAAAUAAAUCCGUCCCUAGAUGGCAUGUUUCUCUUCUAUUGUAAUCAGAAAACCUUAAAAAACUCGUUUGCUUGUAUUAUCUGUGUCUAUAAAACCUUUAUACCGAUCGAACUUACUUCAGAUCG
Molecule: long non-coding RNA, 986 nt
Filed under: Androctonus crassicauda
Lineage: Eukaryota; Metazoa; Arthropoda; Arachnida; Scorpiones; Buthidae
Source: RNAcentral